UGGGGGAAUAUUGGGCAAUGGGGGGAAACCCUGACCCAGCAACGCCGCGUGAAGGAAGAAGGCCUUCGGGUUGUAAACUUCUUUUACCAGGGACGAAGGACGUGACGGUACCUGGAGAAAAAGCAACGGCUAACUACGUGCCAGCAGCCGCGGUAAUACGUAGGUUGCAAGCGUUGUUCGGAAUUAUUGGGCGUAAAGGGCAUGUAGGCGGUAUUGCAAGCCUGGUGUGAAAGGCAGGGGCUCAACCUCUGGACUGCGCUGGGAACUGCGAUACUAGAGUCGCUGAGGGGCAAUCAGAAUUCCAGGUGUAGGGGUGAAAUCUGUAGAUAUCUGGAAGAAUACCAAUGGCGAAGGCAGGUUGCCAGCAGAUGACUGACGCUGAGGUGCGAAGGUGCGGGGAGCAAACAGGAUUAGAUACCCUGGUAGU
This 427-nucleotide ribosomal RNA is filed under the name uncultured Treponema sp. Its description in RNAcentral is "bacterial SSU rRNA". It matches the Rfam family "Bacterial small subunit ribosomal RNA", at positions 354 to 794 of the family's 1533-position model. Lineage: Bacteria; Pseudomonadati; Spirochaetota; Spirochaetia; Treponematales; Treponemataceae. The record is from RNAcentral.